UAAGGAGGGACUAAAAACAGAGUAUACUG
This 29-nucleotide non-coding RNA is filed under the name Mus musculus (house mouse). Lineage: Eukaryota; Metazoa; Chordata; Mammalia; Rodentia; Muridae. The record is from RNAcentral.